Molecule: non-coding RNA, 2004 nt
Organism: Macaca mulatta (Rhesus monkey)
Lineage: Eukaryota; Metazoa; Chordata; Mammalia; Primates; Cercopithecidae
Source: RefSeq, a predicted model, not a curated record
GUAAACCAAUCAUCAUAGUAUCAUGUGGCAAGUGCCAUAACUCAGGUGAUCACAGAGUGCUGUGAGAGCCCAGAGGAAAGAGGGACUAGCUCCACAUUGACAAAGACCUCCCUCUGAAAAGCUUCCAAGGGUGGUGAUGUUUGGGCUGAGUGAGAGAGGAACAGUAUGCGUUGGAAUUGAGGUCCUGGGAGGAGAUGAGAGGAGGAGAAAAGAGGACUGGAAGCCAGUGUGCAGAUGGCCCCCGAUCCUGCCCUCCCAUCCUGCUUGCCUAUCCUGAAACCAACAAGGGGGCUAGAGAGGCUGUUAAGGAGUGAGGUAAUAACUCUGACCUGUGGAGGGCUGUUUCCCAUCCUGAGACCAGCUGUGGCCAUGGAAACUGAUAACAAAUGGAAAGGUCAUUAGAUUGGUGGUGACUCAUAUUCACCAUGUGUUUGCUGAAGGUGCCCUGCCCCCUCUUCUGCCCAUUCCCCCAGGGCUGGGAUUCCCACAGAGAUGAAGGGAGGGCAAAAUCAAAGAACAAGGGCAGAGGCAGCCAUCAAGCCCCAGGCUAGGAACCAGGAAUGCUACAGAGAUGGCCCCUGCUUCUGAGAACCAGCACUCCACACUUACAAGAAAGGUAGGGGCAAAAGACAGUCCCUGGGCCCUUUCUAGUAAAAGACUGAAGGAUUUAAGAUACAUUGGUUUUGAAAAAUAACCACUGAGAAGCACUUUUUACCGCUUCUGACCAAAUUGCCAAGUUCUUGUAAUCCUCAGUGGAGGAGAGUUGGGGAUGAUGGAUGGGAUUGGGAAGGGGUGGGUUUUUAAAAGUCGGGAGGAGGGAAGGUAAUGAAGCUGGAAGAGGCAGGUGAGAUGGAUACUUCCUUAACAUGGACAAGAAACCCAGGCCUGCGGAUAGUGAUUGGAACUCAGAGUAGAGAUGCAUGUCACGGGGGUUUCCACCUCUUCUGGAUGUGUGCCAUGAUCAGGUUUUCCCUGGCAGGAGGGUCAGUUACACAUAAACACAUGGAUUUUCCCUCUAAACCUUUUUAUUUGGGGCUCUAUAAUGCUUAUUUGGGGCUAGGCAACCGUUUUUUGAGUAUUUGUCCCUCACUCCAUAUGCCAGGUUUAUAAUCUCUCGGCUUAAAACUCUGACUGUGUCUGUGGAGCCUGGUCCCACCGUCAGUUCUAGCUGUCUUUGUACCACCUGGCGUGGCUAGAGACUUGUGCUUGUUUUCAGAGCAUGGCCAUACUUGCUGCUGUACCACUUUACCACUGUGAGUAGCAAAUAACCUUUGCCUUCAGAUGAGCCCUCUGUUACUCUAAUUACCUUCUCCUUAUCUGAAUGAUCUGGAUCAUUUAAAUCCAUGAAGGUUGUUUGACUUUAGGCCAACCCUGGGUAAAUGUGCAGUUAGUCUAAGGAACCCUCACCUCAAUUGCCCAUUUUUUUCAAAAAAUUUUUCUGCCCUGAAGGAAAAUGCAGUCCCAGUAAAUUUAUUGUCAUGUGCAAAUAACUUAAUAUAUUGGUCAGUAGAUGACCACUGGCACUGUCAAAUACAACUCUGGAGAGAGUGAUAUUUAGUACAAAGAAGUGGAAGUUCAUAGUAAAGUUUAGGCAUUACUGAGAAUUAAUGUUACAUAUGAAGCAUUCCUAUACCCCUUAAUUCCUCCUAGACAAUCUACUGAAUGAUGAAAGCAAUUAAUUGGAAUGGUUGACAUCUAUAAUGGGAAGAUACCAGCCCUGUCCUUCACAGUUAUAUAAAGACGCAAAAUCAAAUCAGAAGACUUCCUCAGAUGACCCAUUUCUUGCUGAGUGCUUAUUUCGAUGAUGGUAGCAAAUGGUUCUGGUACACCUCUUCCUGGGAAUCCCUGCAAUCUUCGCAGAGAAAUAUGCAUCCUUUUGGUGGGCUAACAUCAAGGGAAACUGGAAACUGAUCAUGUAGAAGCUUCUCCCUCUCUAAUCCCUCAGAUUUGUAAACAGAGCUCCGAGAGACCAUUCAUUGUUUCUCAAACUUCCCUUGUAAGAAU